GUGAGUAGUCAGAGUUUGAUCCUGGCUCAGGAUGAACGCUGGCGGCGUGCUUAACACAUGCAAGUCGAACGGACAAGAUGAAACCUAGUGAUUCUUGUUAGUGGCGGACGGGUGAGUAACGCGUGGGCAACCUGCCUCAUACAGGGGGAUAACACUUAGAAAUAGGUGCUAAUACCGCAUAAGCGCACAGUGCUGCAUGGCACAGUGUGAAAAACUCCGGUGGUAUGAGAUGGACCCGCGUCUGAUUAGCUAGUUGGUGGGGUAAAGGCCUACCAAGGCGACGAUCAGUAGCCGGCCUGAGAGGGUGAACGGCCACAUUGGGACUGAGACACGGCCCAA
RNAcentral lists this ribosomal RNA (339 nucleotides) under uncultured bacterium. RNAcentral describes it as "bacterial SSU rRNA". It matches the Rfam family "Bacterial small subunit ribosomal RNA", at positions 1 to 334 of the family's 1533-position model. The record is from RNAcentral.